CGGAGCCGAAACCUUUUCAUUUUUGAAUUGAACAUCGUGUGAGCAUAAAUCUGUGUUGAAAAUCGGACGGAUCUGACCGUUGUAGAAGAUUUCAUCAGCAGAAAUAGGUGAAAAUUCAGGUUCAGUAUUAACAAAAGCAAACUCAAAAUCAUCAUCACCGUUAUCUUCUUUUUCCAGUACUUCAGCUUUCUCAUUCAAAAUCUGUACUGCACAGCUGAAUGUCUCAUGAUUGAAGAAAAAGUCGGAAUCUGUUUCAUCUUCAGCUUUGAAUUCUUUGACAACUCUAGCAGCAAUUUCUG
This 299-nucleotide long non-coding RNA is filed under the name Nicotiana benthamiana. RNAcentral describes it as "long non-coding RNA (NBEN_LNC028791)". The record is from RNAcentral. Lineage: Eukaryota; Viridiplantae; Streptophyta; Magnoliopsida; Solanales; Solanaceae.